This 527-nucleotide ribosomal RNA is filed under the name Neoscytalidium dimidiatum. Its description in RNAcentral is "LSU rRNA". It matches the Rfam family "Eukaryotic large subunit ribosomal RNA", at positions 104 to 644 of the family's 3401-position model. Lineage: Eukaryota; Fungi; Ascomycota; Dothideomycetes; Botryosphaeriales; Botryosphaeriaceae. The record is from RNAcentral.
ACAGCUCAAAUUUGAAAGCUGGCCCCCCCCGGGGGUCCGCGUUGUAAUUUGUAGAGGAUGAUUCGGCGAGGGCUCCCGCCUAAGUCCCCUGGAACGGGGCGUCAUAGAGGGUGAGAAUCCCGUAUGCGGUGGGCUGCCUUAGCCAUGUGAAUCUCCUUCGACGAGUCGAGUUGUUUGGGAAUGCAGCUCUAAAUGGGAGGUAAAUUUCUUCUAAAGCUAAAUACCGGCCAGAGACCGAUAGCGCACAAGUAGAGUGAUCGAAAGAUGAAAAGCACUUUGGAAAGAGAGUUAAAAAGUACGUGAAAUUGUUGAAAGGGAAGCGCUUGCAGCCAGACUUGCCCGCAGUUGCUCAGCCGGUCUCCUGACCGGCGCACUCUUCUGCGGCCAGGCCAGCAUCAGUUCGGGCGGUCGGAUAAAGGCCCCGGGAACGUAGCUCCUCUCGGGGAGUGUUAUAGCCCGGGGUGGAAUGCGGCCAGCCUGGACUGAGGAUCUCGCUUCGGCUAGGAUGCUGGCGUAAUGGCUGUAAG